Transfer RNA from Trametes versicolor FP-101664 SS1, 110 nucleotides. It matches the Rfam family "tRNA". Rfam says of the family: Transfer RNA (tRNA) molecules are approximately 80 nucleotides in length. The record is from Rfam. Lineage: Eukaryota; Fungi; Basidiomycota; Agaricomycetes; Polyporales; Polyporaceae.
GGCGCUAUAGCCAAGUGGUUACGGCGAGUGAUUAGAAUGUCCUCAUCGCUAGAUAAGUUUAAACUAUCACUUCCUCUAUGAGGGCGCAGGUUCGAGUCCUGCUGGCGUCG